AGAGUUUGAUCCUGGCUCAGAUUGAACGCUGGCGGCAGGCCUAACACAUGCAAGUCGAACGGUAACAGGAAGCAGCUUGCUGCUUUGCUGACGAGUGGCGGACGGGUGAGUAAUGUCUGGGAAACUGCCUGAUGGAGGGGGAUAACUACUGGAAACGGUAGCUAAUACCGCAUAACGUCGCAAGACCAAAGAGGGGGACCUUCGGGCCUCUUGCCAUCAGAUGUGCCCAGAUGGGAUUAGCUUGUUGGUGGGGUAACGGCUCACCAAGGCGACGAUCCCUAGCUGGUCUGAGAGGAUGACCAGCCACACUGGAACUGAGACACGGUCCAGACUCCUACGGGAGGCAGCAGUGGGGAAUAUUGCACAAUGGGCGCAAGCCUGAUGCAGCCAUGCCGCGUGUAUGAAGAAGGCCUUCGGGUUGUAAAGUACUUUCAGCGGGGAGGAAGGUGUUGUGGUUAAUAACCGCAGCAAUUGACGUUACCCGCAGAAGAAGCACCGGCUAACUCCGUGCCAGCAGCCGCGGUAAUACGGAGGGUGCAAGCGUUAAUCGGAAUUACUGGGCGUAAAGCGCACGCAGGCGGUCUGUUAAGUCAGAUGUGAAAUCCCCGGGCUCAACCUGGGAACUGCAUCUGAUACUGGCAGGCUUGAGUCUCGUAGAGGGGGGUAGAAUUCCAGGUGUAGCGGUGAAAUGCGUAGAGAUCUGGAGGAAUACCGGUGGCGAAGGCGGCCCCCUGGACGAAGACUGACGCUCAGGUGCGAAAGCGUGGGGAGCAAACAGGAUUAGAUACCCUGGUAGUCCACGCCGUAAACGAUGUCGACUUGGAGGUUGUGCCCUUGAGGCGUGGCUUCCGGAGCUAACGCGUUAAGUCGACCGCCUGGGGAGUACGGCCGCAAGGUUAAAACUCAAAUGAAUUGACGGGGGCCCGCACAAGCGGUGGAGCAUGUGGUUUAAUUCGAUGCAACGCGAAGAACCUUACCUGGUCUUGACAUCCACGGAAGUUUUCAGAGAUGAGAAUGUGCCUUCGGGAACCGUGAGACAGGUGCUGCAUGGCUGUCGUCAGCUCGUGUUGUGAAAUGUUGGGUUAAGUCCCGCAACGAGCGCAACCCUUAUCCUUUGUUGCCAGCGGUUAGGCCGGGAACUCAAAGGAGACUGCCAGUGAUAAACUGGAGGAAGGUGGGGAUGACGUCAAGUCAUCAUGGCCCUUACGACCAGGGCUACACACGUGCUACAAUGGCAUAUACAAAGAGAAGCGACCUCGCGAGAGCAAGCGGACCUCAUAAAGUAUGUCGUAGUCCGGAUUGGAGUCUGCAACUCGACUCCAUGAAGUCGGAAUCGCUAGUAAUCGUGGAUCAGAAUGCCACGGUGAAUACGUUCCCGGGCCUUGUACACACCGCCCGUCACACCAUGGGAGUGGGUUGCAAAAGAAGUAGGUAGCUUAACCUUCGGGAGGGCGCUUACCACUUUGUGAUUCAUGACUGGGGUGAAGUCGUAACAAGGUAACC
RNAcentral lists this ribosomal RNA (1503 nucleotides) under Citrobacter koseri. Its description in RNAcentral is "bacterial SSU rRNA". It matches the Rfam family "Bacterial small subunit ribosomal RNA". The record is from RNAcentral. Lineage: Bacteria; Pseudomonadati; Pseudomonadota; Gammaproteobacteria; Enterobacterales; Enterobacteriaceae.